GAUGAAGAACGCAGCGAAAUGCGAUACUUGGUGUGAAUUGCAGAAUCCCGUGAACCAUCGAGUCUUUGAACGCAAGUUGCGCCCGAAGCCAUUAGGCCGAGGGCACGCCUGCCUGGGCGUCACACGUCGUUGCCCCCCCAUCUACUCCUUCGGGAUUGCGGGGGGCGAAUGAUGGCCUCCCGUGCGCCUCGUCGCGCGGUUGGCAUAAAUGCCAAGUCCUCGGCGACGCACGCCACGACAAUCGGUGGUUGCGAAACCUCGGUUGCCCGUCGUGUGCGGUCGUCGCGCAUCGAGGGCUCGAAAAAAUUGCCGGGCUCCGGCUCGGCUUUCAACGCGACCCCAGGUCAGGCGGGGUUACCCGCUGAAUUUAAGCAUAUCAAUAAGCGGAGGA
This 391-nucleotide unclassified non-coding RNA is filed under the name soil metagenome. RNAcentral describes it as "partial contains 5.8S ribosomal RNA, internal transcribed spacer 2, and large subunit ribosomal RNA". The stretch from base 1 to 122 matches the Rfam family "5.8S ribosomal RNA", at positions 35 to 154 of the family's 154-position model. The record is from RNAcentral.